CGAAACCGCGGACGGCUCAUUAAAUCAGUCGUGGUCCUAAUGGGCUAGUGUUAUCCUACUUGGAUAACUGUGGUAAUUCCAGAGCUAAUACAUGCAACUCUUAAUCCCUCGAGCGUUUGAGUUUAUUCUCUUUCGCCUGUCGGAUGCUUUUAUUAGACCAAACCGCUAAACGGGGGUGCAAACCCCUUAAAGGCUCGUGUUAUGGUGACUCUGGAUAACAAAUCAAUUGACAAGCGCACGUAUCCAUUUGUUUGGGACGGCGCUGCCACUUUCGAGUGUCUGCCUUAUCAGCUAUGUAUCGUUCGUUAUGUGCAAACGAUGGCUUUGACGGGUAACGGGGAAUCAGGGUUCGAUUCCGGAGAGGCAGCCUGAGAAACGGCUACCACGUCCAAGGACGGCAGCAGGCACGCAAAUUACCCAAUCCCAGCACACUGUUCGGGGAGGUAGUGACGAAAUCUAACGAUGCGGGCGCCCCUUCUGGGGCCCCGCAAUCGGAAUGGGCAUUUUCUUUCUAAACACCCUGUUGAGAACCUACUGAAGGGCAAGUCUGGUGCCAGCAGCCGCGGUAAUUCCAGCUUCAGCAGCAUCUACUAAAGUUGCUGCGGUUAAAAGGCUCGCAGUUGAAUGUCAGUAUCAAGUGUAGCGAUGGUGGACGUUGGGGUGGUGGUACUGUGGGAGAGGAGCUUAACUGUGACUUUUCCCUUUGCUACUAAUAGCUCCCGUCCGUAACAAGCCUCCUCACUUGCGUACAAAGUGGAAUCUAUUUGGUGGAUAAUGUUUAACACUGUCUCGUGGGUCGGUGUGCUUUCGUGGAUACUCAUCAUCGCACUCGCUUUCAAGCUUGUGUGUGUGCGUGCUCUGUCUGCGACGGUGUGCCGCGCUCGCUUGGCUUUGUAUUUGAGGCCUGGUUUCCAAAGUCACCUUGAGUAAAUCAGAGUGCUCAAAGCAGUCGUAAGGGAUUUGCGUGCAUUUCGGUGUGCGUGGUCCUGUGAUUAAAUGUCUUUAUUGACAGACGGUCUUGGUUUUGCAUGGUAUGUCGUAAGACGCCGCAAUCUCUUGUUGGUAACGAGUCUGGUGCGGGCUGCUUGCGGUCGCGUGGAGCUGUGAUUGUGUGUGGGCGCUCGCGGUCCUCUCAUUCCUUCGCGGGUUUGACGGCGGUGUGGCGUGUCUCUUGCGCGUCCUUCUCUCUCUCGCGGCCCUGGCACACACGGGACCAACAGGUGCGGAAUGAUUAAAAGGCACGGUCGAGGGCAUUGGUAUUGCGAGGCGAGAGGUGAAAUUCAAUGACCCCCGCAAGACCUCCUGAAGCGAAAGCGUCUGCCAAGGACGUUUCACUAAUCAUGAACGACCAGGAGUGGAGCUGCGGCUUAAUUUGACUCAACACGGGCCAUCUCACCAGGCCAGCACUCUUGUACGAUUGACAGAUUGAGAGUUCUUUCUCGAUUCAGUGGAUGGUGGUGCAUGGCCGUUCUUAGUUGGUGGAGUGAUCUGUCUGGUUAAUUCCGAUAACGAACGAGACUCUCCCCUGCUAACUAGUCGGUUGGAUCUUGCUUUUGGAGAGUUGUCGUUGCCGCGCUUGUGCGCGUUUGGGAGUGUCUCCUCACGGGGUCCCCCGGCGCAAGCAUCGCGGCAGCACACUCCAAGUCCGCCGCUUAUUGGAUUUUUUGUGUGCGUGAGGUGUAAAAGCCGAGCCACACACAUGGUUGUAAGACUCUUCUUAGAGGGAUUCACGGUUCUGAAGCCGUAAGAAACCGAGAGCAAUAACAGGUCUGUGAUGCCCUUAGAUGUUCUGGGCCGCACGCGCGCUACAAUGCCGUGCUCAACAGGUGUUCAUCCUUCUCCGAGAGGAGUGGGUAACCCUUUGAAAGCACUCUAUCGUUCUCUUGCAUGCGCGUACCGAGGUGCUUUCGUGCCUCUGGUGCGUCGUGUGCAUAUGGCUUGCUUGGGCCUGGGUCUUGCAAUUCUUUCCCACAAACGAGGAAUGCCUAGUAGUGGCGGGUCACAGAGCUCGCUGUGACUCAGUCCCUGCCCUUUGUACACACCGCCCGUCGCUACUACCGAUUGGGUGUACCAGUGAGAUCCUUGGACUGGCGAGCCUUGCACGGAAGCAUUUAUGCUCGAGUGCAAGUGUGUACGACUCGAAGAGGCUCGAACUGGUGCACUUAGAGGAAGUAAAAGUCGUAACAAGGUUUCCGUAGUGACCUGCGA
This 2208-nucleotide ribosomal RNA is filed under the name Oradarea megalops. RNAcentral's name for it is "partial 18S ribosomal RNA". It matches the Rfam family "Eukaryotic small subunit ribosomal RNA". Lineage: Eukaryota; Metazoa; Arthropoda; Malacostraca; Amphipoda; Calliopiidae. The record is from RNAcentral.